Molecule: ribosomal RNA, 492 nt
Filed under: uncultured bacterium
Lineage: Bacteria
Description: partial 16S ribosomal RNA
Rfam family: Bacterial small subunit ribosomal RNA
Source: RNAcentral
AGUGAACGCUGGCGGUAGGCCUAACACAUGCAAGUCGAACGGCAGCACAGUAAGAGCUUGCUCUUACGGGUGGCGAGUGGCGGACGGGUGAGGAAUACAUCGGAAUCUACUUUUUCGUGGGGGAUAACGUAGGGAAACUUACGCUAAUACCACAUACGACCUACGGGUGAAAGCCGGGGAUCUUCGGACCUUGCGCGAUUGAAUGAGCCGAUGUCGGAUUAGCUAGUUGGCGGGGUAAAGGCCCACCAAGGCGACGAUCCGUAGCUGGUCUGAGAGGAUGAUCAGCCACACUGUAACUGAGACACGGUCCAGACUCCUACGGGAGGCAGCAGUGGGGAAUAUUGGACGAUGGGCGCGAGCCUGAUCCAGCCAUACCGCGUGGGUGAAGAAGGCCUUCGGGUUGUAAAGCCAUUUUGUUGGGAAAGAAAAGCAGCAGGUUAAUACCCCGCUGUUCUGACGGUACCCAAAGAAUAAGCACCGGCUAACUUCGUG